This 557-nucleotide ribosomal RNA is filed under the name uncultured earthworm cast bacterium. RNAcentral describes it as "bacterial SSU rRNA". It matches the Rfam family "Bacterial small subunit ribosomal RNA", at positions 48 to 565 of the family's 1533-position model. The record is from RNAcentral.
CUAAUACAUGCAAGUCGAGCGGUAAGGCUCCUGCAGAUUAUUUAAGCGAUGAAGGUAACUUCUAAUUCGACUCCCGGCUAGGAGUUUGGAUAAGCUUGAAUGAUGCGCUGGAGUACACGAGCGGCGGACGGGUGAGUAACGCGUAAGAACAUACCCCAAACUGAGGGAUAACUGCUCGAAAGAGUAGCUAAUACCGCAUGUGCUCUACGGAGUAAAGCUUCGGCGGUUUGGGAAUGGCUUGCGUCUGAUUAGCUAGUUGGUAAGGUAAUGGCUUACCAAGGCGACGAUCGGUAGCUGGUCUGAGAGGAUGAUCAGCCACACUGGGACUGAGACACGGCCCAGACUCCUACGGGAGGCAGCAGUAGGGAAUUUUCCACAAUGGGGGCAACCCUGAUGGAGCAACGCCGCGUGCAGGAUGAAGGCCUUCGGGUUGUAAACUGCUUUUGUCUGUGACGAAUAUGACGGUAGCAGACGAAUAAGGAUCGGCUAACUACGUGCCAGCAGCCCGCGGUCAUACGUAGGAUCCAAGCGUUAUCCGGAUUUACUGGGCCGUAAAG